GUUAUUAUACUUUAAAGCUUAGAAGUUCUAAUUUGCAAUUAGAGAGUGAGGUUUAAUUCUCUACUAACA
RNAcentral lists this transfer RNA (69 nucleotides) under Cerion tridentatum costellata. Its description in RNAcentral is "tRNA-Ala". Lineage: Eukaryota; Metazoa; Mollusca; Gastropoda; Stylommatophora; Cerionidae. The record is from RNAcentral.